UGUGUGUGUGUGUGUGUGUGUGUGUGUGUGUGUGUGUGUAUGCAUAUGUGUGUAUAUAUUAUAAACAUAUUUUGAAAAUAUGUUUAUUGUGUUUUGAAAUUAAAAUAUUAUUACAUCGUUUUACUAUCCCUUUUCUUCCUUUCACACUCCCUGUGUACCCCCCUGCUCUCUCUCAAACUCAGUCUUUGGUUUCUAUUUAUUUUAAUAGCUAUUAUGUAUAUGUAAAUAUGAAUGUAUAUUUCUAAAUAUGUAAAUACAACUUUCUCAGUCCAUAUAUUAUUACUUGUAUGUAUAUGAUUCCAGGGCUGACCACUUGGUAUUGCAGAAUCCAAUUUGGGAGCUUUUCCCUGGGGAAGACUAUUUUCCCCCACUCUCAGUGUUCCAGUUACCUGUAGUUCUUCGUUUAGAGUUGAGCCCCAUGAGAUGCUACUCUUUUGUGUUAGCAUGUCUAUUGGUAGUGUUCUUGUUUAGGCAGCCAUGUUGGUGAGCUUCCAAGGGCAUAGCUUCUCUGACAUUUCCAGGCACCGAUCUCAUAGCACACUUCCCUUUCCUCUGACUCUUAUCCCCCUCUUCCACCAUAAUAUCUGGGCCUUAGAUGAGAAGUUGUGCUAUAGAUUUGUUGUUUUCCCGUCCAUUUCAGUGGCUUCUGACCUCAUCUUAAUUAUUUCUUCCUAUAUGCUUAUUUUGUUUGGCUUUUUCUUGUCCUCCUCGACCCCAAGGCCACGAUGAACUUUGUAACUUAUUUAUUUGAAAUCUGAGUUUUUAUUGCUGGCACUUGCAGUUCUACACUUUCCUCUUAGGAUUGUUCUCCUAGAUUUUGAUAUGGUAUAUUCUCACUUUUAUUUGAUAUCCCUCUCGGUUUUAUUGAUGACUUUUGUGUUAGGUAGUAAUGAAUCGCUCACUCUCCAUGGUUCUGUAUUCUUUAGGUAGCUUCUCUUGGUGUUGAUUUUCAUUUGUACUUGAUUAUAGUCAGAUAGAAUAAAAUAAAUUAUAUCAAUUUUCCAAAUUUGUGCCAUAUUUAUGAUGCAUCUUAGGGAAUGUCCCAUAAAUUCCUCAGGAGAUCUAUAUUUGGCACUGUUGGGUAGAAUGCCCUGUAGAGGGGCUGGGGAUUUAGCUCAGUGGUAGAGCGCUUGCCUAGGAAGCGCAAGGCCCUGGGUUCGGUCCCCAGCUCCGAAAAAAAGAACCAAAAAAAAAAAAAAAAAAAAAAA
RNAcentral lists this small RNA (1208 nucleotides) under Rattus norvegicus (Norway rat). The stretch from base 1105 to 1173 matches the Rfam family "tRNA". Lineage: Eukaryota; Metazoa; Chordata; Mammalia; Rodentia; Muridae. The record is from RNAcentral.